UUCCAAAAAGAACAACCGGGAUUGCCCUAGUAACGGCGAGUGAAGCGGCAACAGCUCAAAUUUGAAAUCUGGCUUCGGCCCGAGUUGUAAUUUGUAGAGGAAGCUUUUGGUGAGGCACCUUCUGAGUCCCCUGGAACGGGGCGCCAUAGAGGGUGAGAGCCCCGUAUAGUCGGAUGCCGAUCCAAUGUAAAGCUCCUUCGACGAGUCGAGUAGUUUGGGAAUGCUGCUCAAAAUGGGAGGUAAAUUUCUUCUAAAGCUAAAUACCGGCCAGAGACCGAUAGCGCACAAGUAGAGUGAUCGAAAGAUGAAAAGCACUUUGAAAAGAGGGUUAAAUAGCACGUGAAAUUGUUGAAAGGGAAGCGUUUGUGACCAGACUUGCGCCGUUCCGAUCAUCCGGUGUUCUCACCGGUGCACUCGGGGCGGCUCAGGCCAGCAUCGGUUUUGGCGGGGGGAUAAAGGUUCGGGGAACGUAGCUCCUUCGGGAGUGUUAUAGCCCCGGGCGUAAUGCCCUCGCCGGGACCGAGGUUCGCGCAUCUGCAAGGAUGCUGGCGUAAUGGUCAUCAACGACCCGUCUUGAAACACGGACCAAGGAGUCAAGGUUUUGCGCGAGUGUUUGGGUGUAAAACCCGCACGCGUAAUGAAAGUGAACGUAGGUGAGAGCUUCGGCGCAUCAUCGACCGAUCCUGAUGUAUUCGGAUGGAUUUGAGUAAGAGCGUUAAGCCUUGGACCCGAAAGAUGGUGAACUAUGCUUGGAUAGGGUGAAGCCAGAGGAAACUCUGGUGGAGGCUCGCAGCGGUUCUGACGUGCAAAUCGAUCGUCAAAUCUGAGCAUGGGGGCGAAAGACUAAUCGAACCAUCUAGUAGCUGGUUACCGCCUAAGUUCCCUCAGGAAUA
RNAcentral lists this ribosomal RNA (893 nucleotides) under Russula sp. Its description in RNAcentral is "partial large subunit ribosomal RNA". It matches the Rfam family "Eukaryotic large subunit ribosomal RNA", at positions 52 to 981 of the family's 3401-position model. The record is from RNAcentral. Lineage: Eukaryota; Fungi; Basidiomycota; Agaricomycetes; Russulales; Russulaceae.